This is a long non-coding RNA of Mugil cephalus (flathead mullet), 1348 nucleotides long. RefSeq lists it as uncharacterized. The record is from RefSeq and is a predicted model, not a curated record. Lineage: Eukaryota; Metazoa; Chordata; Actinopteri; Mugiliformes; Mugilidae. The transcript has 2 exons.
GGAGUGGUGGUUGAAGAGGAGGGAGAGGGGGAAACAGACAGGGUUAAUGUGAGUAAAGGAGCGGCUGUGGGGGGGUGGAGGUUGGGGAGGACCCCACAGGUAAACUAACAAACAAACUGCAAAACACCAACGAGACGCCUGGAAAAAGACGUUCUGCCACACAUUAAUACUUUAAACCUGAUAAAAUGAAAUAAAGUGUGAAUGAACUCUGUUUCCAGGCGUUUUGCUGCUGCGUGUUCAGAGGAAUCGGUACGAAGCAUCAAACAGGAGCAGAGACGGAGACGUCACCGCCGGGUCUGAACCAGCGAAGCCAAAGCAGAGGAAGGUUUUAAGUGUGACACCACUGACCGUCACCAGGUGCCAUCGGUGACGUCCCAGACUCUGGUCGCCUAGGUAACCCUAUAAAAUACGUGUAGCAUAUGGAUGCUAGCUCUUAGCACGGGUGAUUGAAGUUGAGUUACCCCUCCUCCCCCAUCCAAACCUGUGGCCUCGAUUAGCAUUUAGCAUUUAACAAACGUCCAUUUCUUGUACCCGAUUUAUUUAUUAUACGACGCUGAUCCAUUUUCAGUGUUUAAUCCAGAUUAUUCUGGAGCAUUUACAUUGAUGCUUCCCUCGUAGACAGAUUCCAAUGACACGACGAGCUCCCCCCACAGAAAACCACAGUCCUUUGCUAAACUAGCCUCCGGUGCAGGAGCUACAGAGUCAGGACGUCAUGGACCAAGGUGUGCGGUGCAGAGGGUCACAUGCAAGACGACACACACAGAUAUGAAGACACACAAGAAGCCAUUCUGUUCCUGGAGGCUGUUUUUUUUUUAAAAAUAUAUUUAUAUAUAUAUAUGUGUGUGUGUGUGUGUGUGGUGAAGAUAGAGCCUGAUGUGUGGAGAAAAAGCCAAACCCACAAACAGCAACACCUGCUUCCCCCCAGAGAGGAGACGGCAGGAAGCGCCGAGCAGAGAGGACAACGGCCUCUGGAAACAUCUGGACGGAUUUAUUAUCAAAAACCCCUGAUAACACAGCUGAACUUUAACCCCUUUAAAUAUGAGCACGUAAUUAAUCUGAUGUGUUAAAAAAAUAAAUUAAUUAAAGAAAGAGCUCAGCAGACGACUUCUGUUAGAGCGUCACCUGUUAAUCAUGCUCAUGCACAAGAAGCAGCAGCAGGAAGAAGAAGAAGGGACGGAGCGAGAGGACGGAUCCAGCCUCCUGUGUCUGUGUCUACACGUGACACCAGCUAGGAAGCGACAGACACACAGGCCUUGAUAGUAACCGAUCACUUACAGAGCGAAGUCUCGUGGCUGAUGUUUUCGAACAGUAUGUUGAGGGUCUGGAGGAGCUGGACACAGACGUAGCG